This is a long non-coding RNA of Alosa sapidissima (American shad), 529 nucleotides long. RefSeq lists it as uncharacterized. Lineage: Eukaryota; Metazoa; Chordata; Actinopteri; Clupeiformes; Clupeidae. The transcript has 3 exons. The record is from RefSeq and is a predicted model, not a curated record.
CGAAUUGACUAACCUAACAGAAUUGCGAGAGGUCCCGGGAUCCCAACAUCUAGGGUCAGAACCAGCUUCCUGAAAAAACGUACACGGUGAGGUCUGGGACCUUGGAAUACUGAAAGCCCUUGGUUGUCUGAGGACAGCAAAGCGAGAGGGCUGAUCUUCUGACCCCCGGUGACGGGAUCCUACUGAAAGGGAAUUCUCCUGAGACGUCGGUGUGAGAACCAGUGAUCAAGCAAAAAGGCAAACGGUCGGACCAGAUGGCUGUGUGACAUGUUUUCAGUUCUGUGCAAGGAGCCACCAUCACACCAUGGAAGAUGUCAAUGGCACUGUGCGUCACCCUAAAAAUACCAUACCAACAAUGAGGUUUGGAGGUGGUGGCAUCAUGGUGUGGGCUGUUUUUCAUCUCAUGGUACUAGCAGACUUCAUACAGUUGAAGGAAUGAUGAAUGGAGUCAUUUUACUCCUGGAGAAUCCACCAGGAUGAUAAGGAUGAGACAUGGCUAGACCUUCCAGCAGGACAAUGAUCCAAACCA